GAUGAACGCUAGCGGCAGGCCUAACACAUGCAAGUCGAGGGGCAGCACAUAAAGUGGUUUACUACUUUUGGUGGCGACCGGCGGACGGGUGCGUAACGCGUAUGCAACCUGCCUCCAACAGGGGGAUAACGGAGAGAAAUUUCCACUAAUACCCCAUAAUAUCAGAAUCGGCAUCGGUUUUGGUUGAAAACUCCGGUGGUUGGAGCUGGGCAUGCGUUGUAUUAGAUAGUUGGUGAGGUAACGGCUCACCGAGUCAACGAUACAUAGGGGGACUGAGAGGUUAGCCCCCCACACUGGUACUGAGACACGGUCCCGACUCCUACGGAAGGCAGCAGUGAGGAAUAUUGGUCAAUGGGGGCAACCCUGAACCAGCCAUGCCGCGUGCAGGAAGACGGCUCUAUGAGUUGUAAACUGCUCUUACAAGGGGAUAAAUCGGUGUACGUGUACACCGUUGAAGGUACCUUGGGAAUAAGGAUCGGCUAACUCCGUGCCAGCCGCCGCGGUAA
This 506-nucleotide ribosomal RNA is filed under the name uncultured bacterium. Its description in RNAcentral is "partial 16S ribosomal RNA". It matches the Rfam family "Bacterial small subunit ribosomal RNA", at positions 28 to 523 of the family's 1533-position model. The record is from RNAcentral.